RNA transcript from Pan troglodytes (chimpanzee), 2645 nucleotides. It is a transcript of the gene named ATP binding cassette subfamily B member 8, with no coding region annotated. The record is from RefSeq and is a predicted model, not a curated record. The transcript is spliced from 16 exons. NCBI's taxonomy places the organism in Eukaryota, Metazoa, Chordata, Mammalia, Primates, Hominidae.
GCUCGGCUCCGCCCAGAGCAGGGGGCGGGCGGAUAGGCGAUUCCCUCCAAUCACAGUUCCAAAAGGAGGGGGCUGACAACAUAUCCUCCAAUCACAGCUUGAAGCGAGAUUGAUGUGUCUUUUCACCAAUCACCGCCAAGGCGCGAGGGGGUUGUCGGGAUGGGGGCGGGAGCCAACAUGGAGCCCUCAGUGGGAUGAGGGUGAAACUGCUAUUGCCGGCGGCUCCUGUUUUACCGCGUCAGCAUGCUGGUGCAUUUAUUUCGGGUCGGGAUUCGGGGUGGCCCAUUCCCAGGCAGGCUGCUACCGCCCCUCCGCUUCCAGACAUUCUCAGCUGUCAGGUACUCUGAUGGCUACUGCAGCUCCUCCCUCCUCCGGGCCGUGGCCCACCUGCGGUCCCAGCUCUGGGCCCACCUCCCUCGAGCCCCCCUAGCUCCCAGAUGGAGCCCCUCUGCCUGGUGCUGGGUUGGGGGAGCCCUGCUAGGCCCCAUGGUACUGAGUAAGCGUCCCCACCUCUGCCUUGUGGCCCUGUGUGAGGCAGAAGAGGCCCCUCCUGCCAGCUCCACACCCCAUGUCGUGGGGUCUCGCUUUAACUGGAAGCUCUUCUGGCAGUUUCUGCACCCCCACCUGCUGGUCCUGGGGGUAGCCGUCGUGCUGGCCUUGGGUGCGGCACUCGUGAAUGUACAGAUCCCCCUGCUCCUGGGCCAGCUGGUAGAGGUCGUGGCCAAGUACACGAGGGACCACGUGGGGAGUUUCAUGACUGAGUCCCAGAAUCUCAGCACCCACCUGCUUAUCCUCUAUGGUGUCCAGGGACUGCUGACCUUCGGGUACCUGGUGCUGCUGUCCCACGUUGGCGAGCGCAUGGCUGUGGACAUGCGGAGGGCCCUCUUCAGCUCCCUGCUCCGACAAGACAUCGCCUUCUUUGACGCCAAUAAGACAGGGCAGCUGGUGAGCCGCUUGACAACUGACGUGCAGGAGUUUAAGUCAUCCUUCAAGCUUGUCAUCUCCCAGGGGCUGCGAAGCUGCACCCAGGUGGCAGGCUGCCUGGUGUCCCUGUCCAUGCUGUCUACACGCCUCACGCUGCUGCUGAUGGUGGCCACACCAGCCCUGAUGGGAGUGGGCACCCUGAUGGGCUCAGGCCUCCGAAAAUUGUCUCGCCAGUGUCAGGAGCAGAUCGCCAGGGCAAUGGGCGUAGCAGACGAGGCCCUGGGCAAUGUGCGGACUGUGCGUGCCUUCGCCAUGGAGCAACGGGAAGAGGAGCGCUAUGGGGCAGAGCUGGAAGCAUGCCGCUGCCGGGCAGAGGAGCUGGGCCGCGGCAUCGCCUUGUUCCAAGGGCUUUCCAACAUCGCCUUCAACUGCAUGGUCUUGGGUACCCUAUUUAUUGGGGGCUCCCUUGUGGCCGGACAGCAGCUGACAGGGGGAGACCUCAUGUCCUUCCUGGUGGCCUCCCAGACAGUGCAAAGGUCCAUGGCCAACCUCUCUGUCCUGUUUGGUCAGGUGGUCCGGGGGCUGAGUGCAGGCACCCGGGUCUUUGAGUACAUGGCCCUGAACCCCUGCAUCCCACUGUCUGGGGGCUGCUGCGUCCCCAAAGAGCAGCUGCGUGGCUCCGUUACAUUUCAGAACGUCUGCUUCAGCUACCCCUGCCGCCCCGGCUUCGAGGUGCUGAAAGACUUCACCCUGACGCUGCCCCCUGGCAAGAUCGUGGCCCUCGUGGGCCAGUCUGGCGGAGGAAAGACCACCGUGGCUUCCCUGCUGGAGCGCUUCUACGAUCCCACGGCAGGCGUGGUGAUGCUGGAUGGGCGGGACCUGCGCACCCUUGACCCCUCCUGGCUCCGGGGCCAGGUUGUCGGCUUCAUCAGCCAGGAGCCCGUCCUGUUUGGGACGACCAUCAUGGAAAACAUCCGCUUUGGGAAGCUGGAAGCUUCCGAUGAAGAGGUGUACACAGCCGCCCGGGAAGCGAAUGCUCACGAGUUCAUCACCAGCUUCCCUGAGGGCUACAACACGGUCGUCGGUGGGUGCUCGGGUCUGCCGGGAACCAGGUGGUGAACGGGGCACUACCCUGUCUGGGGGCCAGAAGCAGCGCCUGGCCAUCGCCCGAGCCCUUAUCAAGCAGCCCACGGUGCUGAUACUGGAUGAAGCUACCAGCGCGCUGGACGCAGAGUCCGAGCGGGUUGUACAGGAGGCCCUGGACCGGGCCAGUGCAGGCCGCACGGUGCUGGUAAUUGCCCACCGGCUCAGCACUGUCCGUGGGGCCCACUGCAUUGUCGUCAUGGCCGAUGGCCGUGUCUGGGAGGCUGGGACACAUGAAGAGCUCCUGAAGAAAGGCGGGCUAUACGCCGAGCUCAUCCGGAGGCAGGCCCUGGAUGCCCCGAGAACAGCGGCCCCACCGCCCAAAAAGCCAGAAGGCCCCAGGAGCCACCAGCACAAGUCCUGAGAAGGGCCCCCUGAGGUGUGGUCGCUGCCAAGCAUCAGUGUUAGGGCUGGGGCUCAGCCUGGGGGAGCCUACUGGGGACUGAGCCCCCAGGAGGGCCAGCAUGUGGAGAGUCGCUGCGGCUGCUCCUGUUCACAAUAAAGCCGAGGCCGAGCAGCUGGCAGGGGAGGCCAAUCCCUCCCUCCCCUCCCCAGUCCUGCCGGCUGCCUCCCUCCCA